GGCAGCAUGGUGUAGUGGUUUCAGUGUUGGACUACCACUCUGGAGACCUGCGUUUGAUUCCCUACUCUGCCA
This 72-nucleotide transfer RNA is filed under the name Phrynosoma platyrhinos (Desert horned lizard). RNAcentral's name for it is "tRNA-OTHER". The record is from RNAcentral. Lineage: Eukaryota; Metazoa; Chordata; Lepidosauria; Squamata; Phrynosomatidae.